Molecule: ribosomal RNA, 1252 nt
Filed under: metagenome
Description: bacterial SSU rRNA
Rfam family: Bacterial small subunit ribosomal RNA
Source: RNAcentral
AGAGUUUGAUCCUGGCUCAGAACUAACGCUGGUGGCGUGUCUUAGUCAUGCAAGUCGUACGCGAAAGCACCCUUCGGGGUGCAAGUAGAGUGGCGGACGGGUGAGUAACACGUGGGCAAUCUGCCUCUAGGUGGGGGACAACCCUUCUAACGAGGGGCUAAUACCGCAUGAUGCCUCGGUUUCGAAUGGAGCCGAGGUUAAAGGUGGCCUCUACCUGUAAGCUGUCGCCUAGAGAGGAGCCCGCGCUCCAUUAGCUUGUUGGUGAGGUAACGGCUCACCAAGGCAACGAUGGAUAGCCGGCCUGAGAGGGUGAUCGGCCACACUGGAACUGAGAUAAGGUCCAGUCCCCUACGGGGGCCAGCAGUCUAGAAAUUUGCACAAUCGACGAAAGUUGGAUGCAGCGACGCCACGUGGAGGAUGAAGCCUUUCGGGGUGUAAACUCCUGUCAGGAGGGAAGAACGCACAGGUGUGAAUAUCAUCUGUUGCUUGACGGUACCUCCAAAGGAAGCUCCGGCUAACUCUGUGCCAGCAGCCGCGGUAAGACAGAGGGAGCAAGCGUUGUUCGGAUUUACUGGGCGUAAAGGGCGCGCAGGUGGGACGAUAAGUCGAACGUGAAAACUAUUGGCUCAACCAAUAGAUUGCGUUCGAAACUGUCGGCCUUGAGUACAGGAGAGGAGAGUGGAAUCAACAGUGUAGCGGUGAAAUGCGUAGAUAUUGUUGAGAACACCGGUGGCGAAGGCGGCUCUCUGGCCUGAUACUGACACUGAGGCGCGAAAGCUAGGGGAGCAAACAGGAUUAGAUACCCUGGUAGUCCUAGCCGUAAACGAUGGGCACUAGGUGUUGACCCCUUCAGUGCCGUAGCUAACGCAUUAAGUGCCCCGCCUGGGGAGUACGGUCGCAAGGCUAAAACUCAAAGGAAUUGACGGGGACCCGCACAAGCGGUGGAGCAUGUGGCUCAAUUCGAGGCAACGCGAAGAACCUUACCCGGGUUUGACAUGUACUUGACAGCCCUAGAGAUAGGGUCUCUCUUCGGAGCAAGUACACAGGUGCUGCAUGGCUGUCGUCAGCUCGUGUCGUGAGAUGUUGGGUUCAGUCCCGCAACGAGCGCAACCCCUGUCCUUAGUUGCCAGCACGUCAUGGUGGGAACUCUAAGGAGACUGCCUGUGUUAAGCAGGAGGAAGGUGGGGAUGACGUCAAGUCCUCAUGGCCCUUACGCCCGGGGCUGCACACGUGCUACAAUGGCCGGUACAAA